AGAGAUGCAUUGGGUUUAAAGUGUGCGCAGGCGGUUUUGUAAGACAGAGGUGAAAUCCCCGGGCUCAACCUGGGAACUGCCUUUGUGACUGCAAGGCUGGAGUGCGGCAGAGGGGGAUGGAAUUCCGCGUGUAGCAGUGAAGUGCGUAGAUAUGCGGAGGAACACCGAUGGCGAAGGCAAUCCCCUGGGCCUGCACUGACGCUCAUGCACGAAAGCGUGGGGAGCAAACA
RNAcentral lists this ribosomal RNA (230 nucleotides) under uncultured Alicycliphilus sp. Its description in RNAcentral is "partial 16S ribosomal RNA". It matches the Rfam family "Bacterial small subunit ribosomal RNA", at positions 548 to 774 of the family's 1533-position model. Lineage: Bacteria; Pseudomonadati; Pseudomonadota; Betaproteobacteria; Burkholderiales; Comamonadaceae. The record is from RNAcentral.